CACGGAAAAGUAUGCGACUCUGUGGCAACCAACUAACUGUUAUCCAAGAUGGCGCCCCUUCCAGUAGCAGUUUCGCCCCUGAUCAAGUUUUCAAGAUAUUCCGCAUUGCUUGUUGGAAUAGCAUAUGGCUCAAGAAGAAACAAGAGUCAUACAAAGAAUGAAGCUGAAUUACUGAGUUUGAAAGAACAACGAAAAGAAGCAGAGGCUAAGCGAGCAGCUGUAGCUAAGGAAUCUCCAGCGAGUGACUCAAUCUUUGCAUAGAGAUGACAAGAAUCUAACCUCAAGUAUUUCAAGAUGGACGGGUCCCAAUCAUGACUGCUUACCACCGGAGGGGCAAACUACACAAGCAGAAUCAACAGUUUGACAUCACAGUCAUUACUGCCUACCAACAGAGGGGCACAUUACACAAGGAGAGUCAUUAGCUUUACAUCACAUUCACUAUCGUCUCCUGACUGGACUACUUCUCUUAAUUUCAAAAGUAAUUUUCAGUAAUUUUCAUUUAUUAUUUGGGAAAGACACAUCUUGGAGUAUUCUUCAUUAUUGACUUCUGUUUGAUUGGGUUUAAUCAUCCAUCACAGAUGGUUUUCUUGCAUUGAUGGAUCUUUGUGUGUGCAAAUUGUUGUUAUUAUUAUUGUUUUAAUGGUUUACAAAUAGAGACAGUUAUUGUUGGAAAAGAGUGCAUGCCCAAUUGUUGAGUUAGCUUUGCAUGUUCACCAAAAAUGUUUUCUCAACUAACUUGUCCGAAAACCCCAAAAGUCAGAAAUAUAUUCGGUCAUCAAAUAGAGUCAUGUGGCUUGUCCAGCCAUUUGUUAGUCAUAAUAUGCUUUGAAAGUUUACAAUAAGCUAAUGUGAUGUGAAUAUCACCAGUAUAAUAAGAAAUUGAUUCUGAAAAGACAGUAAAAAUAUUAUAGAACAUGGAACUACACAACUGUAUGUGUGUAAUGCCUACUCAAAUAAUGACCUGAUGAAAUGACAUAAACUUAUUUCAUAAUGAGUAGCUUGAUGUUUGCAGUCAGUUUGAUGGUUUUCAUUCCGAUAACUGGUUCAUACCGAUAUACCGAACAUUCUAGAUUGAAUGUUCAAAGAAUCAAGCACACUCAACAUGCUGAUAACCUUAGUAACUGUUUUCCUCUAAUGGCAAACUAUUUGAUAACGAACCCGUAAUAGAGUUACUGCUUGAAGUUGCUGUGUUAAAAAUUAAUAGUUUUAUUUGGUUGAAAAUAGAAAAUAAAUUGACAACAUGAAUCA
Asterias rubens (European starfish) is the source of this 1248-nucleotide long non-coding RNA. RefSeq lists it as uncharacterized. The transcript is spliced from 4 exons. The record is from RefSeq and is a predicted model, not a curated record. Lineage: Eukaryota; Metazoa; Echinodermata; Asteroidea; Forcipulatida; Asteriidae.